This 216-nucleotide ribosomal RNA is filed under the name Glomeromycotina sp. Its description in RNAcentral is "partial small subunit ribosomal RNA". The stretch from base 75 to 216 matches the Rfam family "Eukaryotic small subunit ribosomal RNA", at positions 721 to 864 of the family's 1831-position model. The record is from RNAcentral. Lineage: Eukaryota; Fungi; Glomeromycota.
GGGUCAGUAGGUUGGUCGUGCCACCGGUACGUACUGGUCUCACUGAUUCCUCCUUCCCGAAGAACCGUAAUGCCAUUAAUUUGGUGUUGCGGGGAAACAGGACUGUCACUUUGAAAAAAUUAGAGUGUUUAAAGCAAGCUAACGCUUGAAUACAUUAGCAUGGAAUAAUGAAAUAGGACGAUCGAUCCUAUUUUGUUGGUUUCUAGGAUUGACGUA